This 813-nucleotide long non-coding RNA is filed under the name Pan troglodytes (chimpanzee). Its description in RNAcentral is "long non-coding RNA NONPTRT007310". Lineage: Eukaryota; Metazoa; Chordata; Mammalia; Primates; Hominidae. The record is from RNAcentral.
GUAUUUUUUUGUUAGAUGCAAAUAGUACGGUAUUCCGAACUGACACUAAAAAUAGCUGUCAUCUCAAAGAAUCCAGUGCUUGUGUCACAGUAUGAGAAAGUAGAUGCUGGGGAACAGCGUUUAAUGAAUGAAGCAUUCCAGCCAGCCAGUGAUCUCUUUGGACCUUGCAUUCUCCAUCAGAUUGGAUCACCUCCCACCCUGAGGCCCGCCAAAACUUUGAACAGUUCUUCAGUCAUCCUUACAGAAAGACACCCUCUCCAGACAAACGCAGUAUUUAUAUACAGUCCAUUGGAUCUCUAUGAAGCACCAGAAUUAUCAGUGAAGAAUAUAUUAAAUGGCUCACGGGCUACUGUAAAGCAUAUUUCUAUGGCUUGAGAGUAAAACUGCUAGAACCAGUUCCUGUUUCUACAACAAGGUGUUCCUUUAGAGUCAAUGAGAACACACAAAACCUACAAAUUCAUGCAGGGGACAUCCUGAAGUUCUUGAAAAAGAAGAAACCUGAAGAUGCCUUCUGUGUUGUGGGAAUAACAAUGAUUGAUCUUUACCCAAGAGACUCGUGGAAUUUUGUCUUUGGACAGGCCUCUUUGACAGAUGGCACUGGUGAGGUGGAUUGAUGAUGAAUCUUCUGGCACACCUGGAGCAACUCCAGAACACAGUCGUGAGGAUAAUGGGAAUUUAGUGACACCCGUGGAAGGAAGCCUUUAAGGAAUGGAAAGAGUGGAUAAUAAAAUGCCUGACUGUUCUCCAAAAAUGAGGACCUUCAAAUAGGAGUGAUUGAAAUAAAUGACUACUUGCAUGUUAUGCUUUCAUUUG